UCUUUGACGCACCUUGCGCUCCUUGGUAUUCCGAGGAGCAUGCCUGUUUGAGUCUCAUGGAAUUCUCAAGCUUACAGUUUUGUUACUGCAAGGCUUGGACUUGGAGGUCGUGUCGGCUCUCGCGAGUCGACUCCUCUGAAAUGCAUUAGUGCGGACGUUACCGGUCGCUUCAGCGUGAUAAUUAUCUGCGCUGCCGUCGACGGGUAUGUGAAGUACGCGCUUCUAACCGUCCUUCACGGGACAAUACGUUGAAACUCUGAGCUCAAAUCAGGUAGGACUACCCGCUGAACUUAAGCAUAUCA
Molecule: ribosomal RNA, 302 nt
Filed under: Porostereum spadiceum
Lineage: Eukaryota; Fungi; Basidiomycota; Agaricomycetes; Polyporales; Phanerochaetaceae
Description: eukaryotic LSU rRNA
Source: RNAcentral